This 305-nucleotide ribosomal RNA is filed under the name uncultured bacterium. RNAcentral's name for it is "bacterial SSU rRNA". It matches the Rfam family "Bacterial small subunit ribosomal RNA", at positions 336 to 658 of the family's 1533-position model. The record is from RNAcentral.
UUCCUACGGGGGGCAGCAGUGGGGGAUAUUGCACAAUGGGGGGAACCCUGAUGCAGCGACGCCGCGUGGGCGAUGGAGUACUUCGGUAUGUAAAGCCCUAUCAGCAGGGAAGAAAAUGACGGUACCUGACUAAGAAGCCCCGGCUAAAUACGUGCCAGCAGCCGCGGUAAUACGUAUGGUGCAAGCGUUAUCCGGAUUUACUGGGUGUAAAGGGAGCGCAGGCGGUUCUGCAAGUCUGAUGUGAAAGCCCGGGGCUCAACCGCGGGACUGCAUUGGAAACUGCGGGCCUGGAGUGUCGGUGGGGG